RNAcentral lists this long non-coding RNA (1023 nucleotides) under Fukomys damarensis (Damara mole-rat). RNAcentral describes it as "lncRNA (ENSFDAG00000030895.1)". Lineage: Eukaryota; Metazoa; Chordata; Mammalia; Rodentia; Bathyergidae. The record is from RNAcentral.
CUCUCUCUCUCUCGUUUAGAGACAGCCUGGUUUUCAGCUCCUUUUACUAACAUAUCUGGUGCGGAGACUCAGGAGGAGGUAUGCGAUCAAUUACGUGAUGAUUCCCCACCGGUUGGGGUUGAUUGGCCUUUUGCUGCCUCCUCCAGACCACAUCUGCGGAGCCAGGACCUCCUCGGGCCUUUCUGCCUUUACCAUUGCUGAUGACUCACAUCCACCCCGGUCACUGCUCUCAGGGUACUUCUAGCCCUAACUCCAUUGUCUGCACCUCCUGUUCCACUGGCCUCCUGUUCCACAUUCUCCUUGCUAGAGCGACUCCCUCCCCUGACCCGGACCUCAGCCCAGACUCCAAAGUGACUAUUGAUCCAACAGACCACUUUAUAAAAGGUCGUUCUGCCUGUGAGGCCCUUCUUGGAGAGAAAAAGCUUCUCCACCUCUCCAGACAGACCAGAAACAACAACCUGAAACUCCCAGAGAGGGAUACAACCAAGCCAGAGGACCUAAUGGGACACUGGACAUUCCAGGACCUCAUGAGAGCAUUUACCAGUCAGACAGUCACAGAACUCAUCAUGGUGGGGUACCAGCCACUGCAGCAGAAAGAAGACCUUACUUAUAGCUGCCCCCAUCAGAUCCAGGUUUAGUCCCAAUCUUUGCCCCUUUGUCAGCUUGAAGCAGCUACAGAAGAAAUGUUUUCCCAAUGACCAUAAAACAAAAACUUGGAAUAUUAGAUUUCCCUUGUCUUAAGAUGGCUGCUGCAUGGAGUAGCAGCCUCUUCUUCCCAUAAUGCCAUGUUAAAAUAUGGCUUCUCCCACCAAAGGAUAGUCUUCUUCCCAACAUGCCCCUCUUCCCACCAAGAAAGGUAAUCUGAUACUUGCUACCUCCUAGCAACUAGUGAUGUCACAGACUCCUCCAAUCCCUUAUUGCCACAUCACUCGAACCCACCCCAGCUCCUAUAAGAAGUGCCCCCUGUCUCGGCCAUAUUGCUCUCUCUCUUUUGUUCUGAGACAGCAUGGCAGAUCCUCCCCA